Molecule: ribosomal RNA, 366 nt
Filed under: Pinalitus oromii
Lineage: Eukaryota; Metazoa; Arthropoda; Insecta; Hemiptera; Miridae
Description: partial 16S ribosomal RNA
Source: RNAcentral
UGGCUGCAGUAUUUUGACUGUACAAAGGUAGCAUAAUCAUUUGUCUUUUAAUUGAAGGCUAGUAUGAAUGGUUGGACGAAAAAUAUACUUUCUUUAUUUUAUAUAAAUNAAUUAAUUUUUUAGUUAAAAAGCUAAGAUUUUUUUAUAGGACGAGAAGACCCUAUAGAACUUUAUUUUCUACAUAUAUAUAUUUUAUAGAUUUUUAAAAUAUUAUAUAUUAAUAGUUAAUUUAAUUGGGGUGAUUGAAAAAAUUAUAUAACUUUUUCUAUUUCUAUCAUUUAUUUAUGAUGUUUUUGAUCCUUUAAUAUGGAAAAUAAGAUUAAGUUACCUUAGGGAUAACAGCGUUAUUUUUUUGGAAAAUUCUUA